This 484-nucleotide ribosomal RNA is filed under the name uncultured bacterium. RNAcentral describes it as "partial 16S ribosomal RNA". It matches the Rfam family "Bacterial small subunit ribosomal RNA", at positions 30 to 507 of the family's 1533-position model. The record is from RNAcentral.
AUUGGACGCUGGCGGAAUGCUUUACACAUGCAAGUCGAACGGCAGCACGGGGGCAACCCUGGUGGCGAGUGGCGAACGGGUGAGUAAUACAUCGGAACGUGCCCGGUCGUGGGGGAUAACGUAGCGAAAGUUACGCUAAUACCGCAUACGAUCUGAGGAUGAAAGCGGGGGACCUUCGGGCCUCGCGCGAUCGGAGCGGCCGAUGUCAGAUUAGGUAGUUGGUGGGGUAAAGGCCUACCAAGCCGACGAUCUGUAGCUGGUCUGAGAGGACGACCAGCCACACUGGGACUGAGACACGGCCCAGACUCCUACGGGAGGCAGCAGUGGGGAAUUUUGGACAAUGGGCGCAAGCCUGAUCCAGCCAUUCCGCGUGCAGGACGAAGGCCUUCGGGUUGUAAACUGCUUUUGUAUGGAACGAAAAGGCUCUGGCUAAUACCUGGGGCUCAUGACGGUACCGUAAGAAUAAGCACCGGCUAACUACGCG